This 2909-nucleotide ribosomal RNA is filed under the name Escherichia albertii. RNAcentral's name for it is "23S ribosomal RNA". It matches the Rfam family "Bacterial large subunit ribosomal RNA". Lineage: Bacteria; Pseudomonadati; Pseudomonadota; Gammaproteobacteria; Enterobacterales; Enterobacteriaceae. The record is from RNAcentral.
GGUUAAGCGACUAAGCGUACACGGUGGAUGCCCUGGCAGUCAGAGGCGAUGAAGGACGUGCUAAUCUGCGAAAAGCGUCGGUAAGGUGAUAUGAACCGUUAUAACCGGCGAUGUCCGAAUGGGGAACCCAGUGUGUUUCGACACACUAUCAUUAACUGAAUCCAUAGGUUAAUGAGGCGAACCGGGGGAACUGAAACAUCUAAGUACCCCGAGGAAAAGAAAUCAACCGAGAUUCCCCCAGUAGCGGCGAGCGAACGGGGAGGAGCCCAGAGCCUGAAUCAGUGUGUGUGUUAGUGGAAGCGUCUGGAAAGGCGCGCGAUACAGGGUGACAGCCCCGUACACAAAAAUGCACAUGCUGUGAGCUCGAUGAGUAGGGCGGGACACGUGGUAUCCUGUCUGAAUAUGGGGGGACCAUCCUCCAAGGCUAAAUACUCCUGACUGACCGAUAGUGAACCAGUACCGUGAGGGAAAGGCGAAAAGAACCCCGGCGAGGGGAGUGAAAAAGAACCUGAAACCGUGUACGUACAAGCAGUGGGAGCCCUGAUUUAUCAGGGUGACUGCGUACCUUUUGUAUAAUGGGUCAGCGACUUAUAUUCUGUAGCAAGGUUAACCGAAUAGGGGAGCCGGAGGGAAACCGAGUCUUAACUGGGCGUUAAGUUGCAGGGUAUAGACCCGAAACCCGGUGAUCUAGCCAUGGGCAGGUUGAAGGUUGGGUAACACUAACUGGAGGACCGAACCGACUAAUGUUGAAAAAUUAGCGGAUGACUUGUGGCUGGGGGUGAAAGGCCAAUCAAACCGGGAGAUAGCUGGUUCUCCCCGAAAGCUAUUUAGGUAGCGCCUCGUGAAUUCAUCUCCGGGGGUAGAGCACUGUUUCGGCAAGGGGGUCAUCCCGACUUACCAACCCGAUGCAAACUGCGAAUACCGGAGAAUGUUAUCACGGGAGACACACGGCGGGUGCUAACGUCCGUCGUGAAGAGGGAAACAACCCAGACCGCCAGCUAAGGUCCCAAAGUCAUGGUUAAGUGGGAAACGAUGUGGGAAGGCCCAGACAGCCAGGAUGUUGGCUUAGAAGCAGCCAUCAUUUAAAGAAAGCGUAAUAGCUCACUGGUCGAGUCGGCCUGCGCGCGGAAGAUGUAACGGGGCUAAACCAUGCACCGAAGCUGCGGCAGCGACACUGUGUGUUGUUGGGUAGGGGAGCGUUCUGUAAGCCUGCGAAGGUGUGCUGUGAGGUAUGCUGGAGGUAUCAGAAGUGCGAAUGCUGACAUAAGUAACGAUAAAGCGGGUGAAAAGCCCGCUCGCCGGAAGACCAAGGGUUCCUGUCCAACGUUAAUCGGGGCAGGGUGAGUCGACCCCUAAGGCGAGGCCGAAAGGCGUAGUCGAUGGGAAACAGGUUAAUAUUCCUGUACUUGGUGUUACUGCGAAGGGGGGACGGAGAAGGCUAUGUUGGCCGGGCGACGGUUGUCCCGGUUUAAGCGUGUAGGCUGGUUUUCCAGGCAAAUCCGGAAAAUCAAGGCUGAGGCGUGAUGACGAGGCACUACGGUGCUGAAGCGACAAAUGCCCUGCUUCCAGGAAAAGCCUCUAAGCAUCAGGUAACAUCAAAUCGUACCCCAAACCGACACAGGUGGUCAGGUAGUAGAGAAUACCAAGGCGCUUGAGAGAACUCGGGUGAAGGAACUAGGCAAAAUGGUGCCGUAACUUCGGGAGAAGGCACGCUGAUAUGUAGGUGAAGCGACUUGCUCGUGGAGCUGAAAUCAGUCGAAGAUACCAGCUGGCUGCAACUGUUUAUUAAAAACACAGCACUGUGCAAACACGAAAGUGGACGUAUACGGUGUGACGCCUGCCCGGUGCCGGAAGGUUAAUUGAUGGGGUCAGCGCAAGCGAAGCUCUUGAUCGAAGCCCCGGUAAACGGCGGCCGUAACUAUAACGGUCCUAAGGUAGCGAAAUUCCUUGUCGGGUAAGUUCCGACCUGCACGAAUGGCGUAAUGAUGGCCAGGCUGUCUCCACCCGAGACUCAGUGAAAUUGAACUCGCUGUGAAGAUGCAGUGUACCCGCGGCAAGACGGAAAGACCCCGUGAACCUUUACUAUAGCUUGACACUGAACACUGGUCCUUGAUGUGUAGGAUAGGUGGGAGGCUUUGAAGUGUGGACGCCAGUCUGCAUGGAGCCGUCCUUGAAAUACCACCCUUUAAUGGCUGGUGUUCUAACGUGGGCCCGUAAUCCGGGUUGCGGACAGUGUCUGGUGGGUAGUUUGACUGGGGCGGUCUCCUCCUAAAGAGUAACGGAGGAGCACGAAGGUUGGCUAAUCCUGGUCGGACAUCAGGAGGUUAGUGCAAUGGCAUAAGCCAGCUUGACUGCGAGCGUGACGGCGCGAGCAGGUGCGAAAGCAGGUCAUAGUGAUCCGGUGGUUCUGAAUGGAAGGGCCAUCGCUCAACGGAUAAAAGGUACUCCGGGGAUAACAGGCUGAUACCGCCCAAGAGUUCAUAUCGACGGCGGUGUUUGGCACCUCGAUGUCGGCUCAUCACAUCCUGGGGCUGAAGUAGGUCCCAAGGGUAUGGCUGUUCGCCAUUUAAAGUGGUACGCGAGCUGGGUUUAGAACGUCGUGAGACAGUUCGGUCCCUAUCUGCCGUGGGCGCUGGAGAACUGAGGGGGGCUGCUCCUAGUACGAGAGGACCGGAGUGGACGCAUCACUGGUGUUCGGGUUGUCAUGCCAAUGGCACUGCCCGGUAGCUAAAUGCGGAAGAGAUAAGUGCUGAAAGCAUCUAAGCACGAAACUUGCCCCGAGAUGAGUUCUCCCUGAGACUUAGAGUCUCCUGAAGGAACGUUGAAGACGACGACGUUGAUAGGCCGGGUGUGUAAGCGCAGCGAUGCGUUGAGCUAACCGGUACUAAUGAACCGUGAGGCUUAACCUU